AGGGGAGUAGCUCAAUUGGUAGAGCGUCGGUCUCCAAAACCGGUGGCUGCGGGUUCGAUUCCUGUCUCCCCUGCCA
Molecule: transfer RNA, 76 nt
Filed under: Bacillota bacterium
Lineage: Bacteria; Bacillati; Bacillota
Also listed under: 1 other name
Description: Firmicutes bacterium (anaerobic digester metagenome) tRNA-Trp
Rfam family: tRNA
About the family: Transfer RNA (tRNA) molecules are approximately 80 nucleotides in length. Their secondary structure includes four short double-helical elements and three loops (D, anti-codon, and T loops). Further hydrogen bonds mediate the characteristic L-shaped molecular structure. tRNAs have two regions of fundamental functional importance: the anti-codon, which is responsible for specific mRNA codon recognition, and the 3' end, to which the tRNAs corresponding amino acid is attached (by aminoacyl-tRNA synthetases). tRNAs cope with the degeneracy of the genetic code in two manners: having more than one tRNA (with a specific anti-codon) for a particular amino acid; and 'wobble' base-pairing, i.e. permitting non-standard base-pairing at the 3rd anti-codon position.
Source: RNAcentral